RNAcentral lists this ribosomal RNA (253 nucleotides) under uncultured bacterium. RNAcentral's name for it is "partial 16S ribosomal RNA". It matches the Rfam family "Bacterial small subunit ribosomal RNA", at positions 524 to 776 of the family's 1533-position model. The record is from RNAcentral.
UACGGAGGGGGCUAGCGUUGUUCGGAAUUACUGGGCGUAAAGCGCACGUAGGCGGACCAGCAAGUUAGGGGUGAAAUCCCGGGGCUCAACCCCGGAACUGCCUUUAAAACUGUUGGUCUGGAGGUCGAGAGAGGUGAGUGGAAUUCCGAGUGUAGAGGUGAAAUUCGUAGAUAUUCGCAAGAACACCAGUGGCGAAGGCGGCUCACUGGCCCGAUACUGACGCUGAGGCACGAAAGCGUGGGGAGCAAACGGG